AAGUCGAACCCUCGUAGCAAUGCGAGAGUGGCAGACGGGUGAGUAACACGUGGGAACCUUCCCUAUGGUUCGGAAUAGCCCAGGGAAACUUGGGGUAAUACCGGAUAAGCCCUUGCGGGGAAAGAUUUAUCGCCAUUGGAUGGGCCCGCGUCGGAUUAGCUAGUUGGUGAGGUAACGGCUCACCAAGGCGACGAUCCGUAGCUGGUCUGAGAGGAUGAUCAGCCACACUGGGACUGAGACACGGCCCAGACUCCUACGGGAGGCAGCAGUGGGGAAUAUUGGACAAUGGGCGCAAGCCUGAUCCAGCCAUGCCGCGUGAGUGACGAAGGCCUUAGGGUUGUAAAGCUCUUUUGGCGGGGAAGAUAAUGACGGUACCCGCAGAAUAAGCUCCGGCUAACUUCGUGCCAGCAGUCGCGGUAAUACGAAGGGAGCUAGCGUUGUUCGGAAUCACUGGGCGUA
Molecule: ribosomal RNA, 459 nt
Filed under: uncultured bacterium
Lineage: Bacteria
Description: bacterial SSU rRNA
Rfam family: Bacterial small subunit ribosomal RNA
Source: RNAcentral